RNAcentral lists this long non-coding RNA (24726 nucleotides) under Lathyrus oleraceus (garden pea). RNAcentral's name for it is "Pisum sativum (pea) long non-coding RNA (PSAT_LNC002020)". Lineage: Eukaryota; Viridiplantae; Streptophyta; Magnoliopsida; Fabales; Fabaceae. The record is from RNAcentral.
GCCACCUGAGACAAAUAGGAAGAAAAUACCGCGUAAUAUCUAAUAAAAUGAAGUGAACUGAAAUAAAUAAUAAUAAAAUUUAAUUGAAUUAAGUCCUAAAAUAUGAUAUAAUUUCGUGUUAUCAUGUAACACAAUAAACAAUCAACCAUUCCUAACACCACUAACAUGUCCUAACAGGCAACCAUGUCCAUUUUAACACAUAACAUGACAAUUCAAUACUAAGUCCAUCAACCUCAUUUUUAACAGGCAUAUAACAAUUCACCAAGAUUUUAUACUUCAAACAAUUCAAGGUUAAUUCCAAAACAGUAGCAAUCAAUGUUCAAGCAACUUUGGUAGUCCAAUAAAGAAUAACCCAUUCACAAUUUUGUUCACUAACCUAAUACGCUAGCAGUAGGAUUAAAGUCUUACAGAUAGUUCAAUAGCUCAGGGGUCCACAUACACAUAGCAGCUAGAAUUAAGGAAAUUCAUUACUAACAGCCCUACAAUCCUAUUACUAACCUAACUCACAUUUUAAAUUCAAACUCAACUUGCGAAGUAAAGAAAACUAACCAUAAAAACCUGUUGCAGUUUGGACCAAUUGCACCAUUCACAAUUCAGUUUAGGUUCAUCUUGAUAGCCCUGCUAGAUGGCUUGCAAACCUCACUUCACCACUGCAAAUUGGAUAGCCAACUGGAUAUUAAUUAGCUCAUCAAAUUCAAAGCAUCAUGCAGUCAUAACAAUCCAAUUAGCAUACCAAUUAACCAUAGGUUCAACACUAAAACCAAUUGACAUCAUACAGAACUUGUAGUUUGAGUCAGCAUACAUUUCAUCAUAGUUAUAGUGAAACAAUUAAAUUCACUAGUCUACAACUUGCUGACCAUACUAACUAAACCUUAAUAGGAUAUCUAACACUUGUAACUGUUUUCAUUCAAAACUAACCUUUGCUAAAUCAACAAUCCAUUGAAAAUUCAAUUCAUCUGUGAUAAUUAACACAAAAUAACUUCUCAUGGGACAACAAUCCUUAGAUAACUAGUUAGCUCAUUCCAACUAGUAAUAAAUUCACCCAUACUAAUGAUAAUAAUUUCAAAUUGUGAUUCAUAGCUGCAACUUAAAGACACCAGCUAGAACUAACUAUUCCAACUAUGAAAAUCCAAUAUAACCAUUUGAACUAACUCAUGUUGAAUGCCAUUUCACACAAAUAGAAUUUCAACACCUUCUAACUAACAGAACUAACAUCUCAAUCCAACCUAAUAUAACAUUCAAUAAUAUAAUAACUAACUCCAUCCAAUUUUCCAACUGACUGAAUUAACUACGUUAACUAUUUGUUAACUUUUUCAAAUCCAUAACUGAAUCUAACUAACGUAACAGUCCUCCCAAUCAACUAACUUCACUUCAAUCUAAACCAACUAACUUUAACAUAGCCUUAACAAAUUGUUAACUCUAUUAAUCCUUUUAACUAACCUACAACCAGUUACUCAAUUUAUGUCUAUAAGUAAUCAUCAUCCCAAUCAUUGAAGAGGACCCAAUCAUUGACACACAAAUCAGAUAAGUUCUCAAAACUCUCUUUCACUCUCCCUCAAUUGUCUCUCAAUCUCUGAAAUUUCCCCUUUCACUUUCACCCUCACCUAAAGCUCGAUAGAACAACCAUUAAUGGUUCACCUUGAAGCUUCAAACGUGCGUGAGCUAAGCCUCUCAAUCUCUCUGCUCUAUCACAUUUUCUCUCAUGGAAGCAAAUCUCAGCAAUCUCACGCAUCAUCAACAUUGCAUAAACGUAGCAACCACAUAAGGAGUAGAAGAAGAUUCUAUUAAGGAGCUCAGAGUCAUAAUUCUUACCUUAUUUUGAAGCGCCUCUAGAUUUCUUGUCAUCUUCAUCUUCAAAUUUCUCAAUCUUGACCGGAGCAAUUCACCACUCCAAAGUUGGUGCACCUCUUUCAAACUCACUUGCUUUAUCAUAUUUCUUGUUACCAGAUGAUAGAAUUGAUGUAGAGGAACAUUAGCCCCAAGUUCUAAGGUUGAAACCAAUUGUAAUUCAUGUUUAAUUGGGGACCUAGAAUUUAGGGUUCAUAUGAGUUGAUUCUCUGAUUGGAAGUGUUAAGAAGGAAUUAAUAGAGGUUAACGUGAGAACGAAAGAAAGGGAACAAGGAUGAUUCCAUUGAUGCGAGGUUGAGGUCUAUUGAUAUGAGUUGAUUCUCUGAUUGGAAGUGUUAAGAAGGAAUUAAUAGAGGUUAACGUGAGAACGAAAGAAAGGGAACAAGGAUGAUUCCAUUGAUGCGAGGUUGAGGUCUAUUGAAGCUCAGCCGCCACUAGAGGCGAUUUCCAAUGCGGUGGAGGGAAGACUGGAAAUCAUUUUUUAGUUGGAAUAAGGGGAUGUGGAAGUGAGUAUGAGUUAGCCUUGACACUCUGAUUGUUAUCCUUUUGUUGAGCUCGGUUGGGCCUUAAGCCCAAAUUCCUACUAUUUGCACCACCAUUUUUCUUGAACACCCCUUUGCAUAUUGGAAGUAAAAUGACUUUGGGUUUUUAGCAGGCCUAACACCAGUCUGCUUACCCCACACCUCCAUUCCAGCGUCUGUACCCCUGCAUUUGUUUUGUAUUUUUCUAUCUUUAUUAUUUCUCGUGAUCUUAGUUGUUUCUCAAUAGUUUUUUUUUCUUUUAAUUCAUUUUAUUUUUUAUGUAAAAAAGAUUUUGACAUGUUAGCAUACAUUUUAAUCAAUAAUAAUAAUGCACAAUUUAAUUGGAGUUAAUCACUUAGUUUUUGGUUAAUUCUCAAUUUAAAAUGUUAAGAAAUAAUGCCCAUGCUCGUGAUGCUUUAGAUUAGUUUUAAUUCUAGAAAUUGAUAUGCAUGUUUAACUUUGAUUCCAUUAGGUUAGAAUUAGUACUUAGCUUUAGAUUUCAUCUUGAAUUAGGUGUUAGAAUUAAUUGAUAUGUUUAAAAAUUAGGCUCUUUGUGAUUCUGAAUCCUUGUGCAUGCUUUGCAACUAGACCUCACCCCUAACUGAUUAAGUUGACCGAAGUCUUAUUUGAUAAACUAAAUCCUUUGACAUGUGCAUGUUCCCUCAAUCUAGUCAAGUUAUCAUAAGUCUCUUAAUCACUUGAUAAGACUAGUCCUCGGCACUGGAGCUGCAUUAGAUCUUUCAAGACUAACAACUCAAGACUUCACAUUCAAGUCAAUACAAGUCAGACAGAACAUUGCAGACAGACUGGACACCGGACUACUGUUUAAGCACAACAAAGGUUCCCCUUCAACACUUGUUAGUGAUGAUGAGGAUUGCACACCACGAGCCUUAAGUAGUUGAGAAGUAAGGAGAGGGAGAACUAAUAUCCUCAUUAUGAAUAUCUUUGGGUACGAAAUGAAUGACCCAGUUGCUCAGAGUAUUCACCUCUACACAUAGACUUUAGUACCAUUUGAAUCAAAUAAUUGUCAAGUCUUCUUCUCCACAAGCAAUACUUUAUCCCCAGGAGCAACAAAAAGAAUCUUCUUCAACACUUGUCAAUUAUGGUGAGGAUUACACGCCAUGAGCCUUAAGUAGUAGAGAAGGGAUGAGAGGGUGAAUUCCUAUCAUCAUUAUGAAUAUCUUUGGAUACGGGACGAAUGACCUAAUUGUUCAAAGUAUUUGCCUCUACUCAUAGACUUUAGUGCAAUUCAAAUCAACUAAUUGACAAGUCUUGUACAACAUUACAAUACAGCUUCAUCAAUAAUACAUGUAUUCUUUGGGCCAAACACAUCCUCUCUGGCAUCCAUACCUUCUUAGGGUUAACUACCUCAUGGUAAAGACCCCCGACUUUGGACCACAAUCUAUGGGCCACACCAUCCAUUGGUUACCACCACACAUUUUUCUAAAGCCACACCAUCUAUUACUUGCCGUUAUUCUUUUUUCUCUUUUUCUAAGGCCACAGUUACCUCCAUACCUUUUUCUAAGGCCACACCAUCUAUUGGUUACUACCCUUCUUUUUUCUCCUUUUCUAAGACCACACCUGAAGCUAGCGGAAAUAUACCCGAACGUAUCGCACGCUCGAAGAUACAACAGAGUUGUCAUCGAACUUUAUUUAUCCCCAAAGGGAAGGGAAAACAUCGAUAAAACCCGGGGAAAAGAGAUAUGCUGGGUAAGGAAGUCGGUUAUGCAAGGGGAAGGUAUUAGCACCCCAUACAUCCAUGGUACUCCAUGGGAACCGUUUUGAUUGUUCUCGCUCGAAUAGGUGUUAUAUCUAAGAUUACUCACAAAAGAAUGGAAAGAAAAAGAAAUAGAUAAAGUGCUCGAUGAAGAUUAGGGCCCUCAUGCUUACGUAUCCUCAUAGUGCAAUGAGGAAUUCAGAGCUUCGUAGUUCAAGGAACUAGAGGAAGGAGGUGGAAAGAAGUGUGAUAGAAGGUAUGAUUUGAGCCAAAGAAUAAUGUUGUUUGAACUCCAACAAGGGUGAAAAUGUGAAUCCAAGAGUAAAAUUGUUGUGAACCAACAAGUGAGGGGCGUAUAGCACUUGUAUCACUGUAUUGGAAUAACCAAAAAGAAAGGGUUGCCUAAGUACGACUGCAAAGUAAGUAAGGAGAUGUUCGUCUAAGCAACAGGGUCUGACAAGCCAAACAAAUAUGCUCUUGGUUCACAAAAUGGGGUACAAGAUGGAGCACAAAGGUAUAGUUAUUUGGCUCAGAGAAUAGGUAUAUCACAUGGAGUGAGUGAAGAUAGAGUAUGAAAGUAUCAUGGAGAUGAAUGGAAGGAAUGCCCUAAGGCAGGAGUGAUAAAUAAGUAUGCUCGCGGAGGGUUCAAACCCUCGUGCCUACGUAUUCUCAUUAUGCAAUGAGAAAAUCAGAGCAAUCGUAGUUCAGCCUAUUACGACUGAAAACAAAGGGUACGAGAUUGAUUGGAUUGCCCAGAAGCGGAUUGCUUAACAAGCAGGAAUGUGGUACUAACUGAUGACGGUGAUCAACCACAAGGACACGUGAGAUAUGAUUGGCCUAUACACGAGAAGGUUUAUAAGGCAAGAGAUUCGUCUAAGCACGAGAGGUCUUAUAAGACGAACAAUGAUUAUGAAAUGAUUGGCCUACACACGAGAGGAUUUACAAGGCAAGAGAGCUUCGUAUAAGCACGAGAGGUCUUAUAAGACGAACAAUGAUUAUGAAAUGAUUGGCCUACACACGAGAGGAUUUACAAGGCAAGAGAGCUUUGUCUAAGCACGAGAGGUCUUAUAAGACGAACAAUGAUUAUGAAAUGAUUGGCCUACACACGAGAGGAUUGAUAAGGCUUACAAUGAAUAGGGGUUUGCCAAAGCACAAGAGGACUGGUGAGGAAAACAAGGAUUAAGUUGAUUGAUUAUGAUUCAAAGACUUGAUUUCAAGGUAAUUGAUCCAAAGGAUAUCUGAAUGUCAAAGGGAAUAUGAUUAACGAUCCACUGAGGGGAGAAAUGAUUGACGUACAAUGAUGCUUCAAUAAUGGAGUGUUGAAUGAUUGAUCGAUGAAAUAGGAUAGAUUGAUAAAUGAGAUAGGGAUAGAUAAGGUAGAUUGAUAAAUAAGGUAGCUCGCGAAGAAUCUGAGUUCUCCUGCCUACGUAACCUUAUAGUGCAAUAAGGAAAUCAGAGCUUUCGUAGUUCAGCCCACUAGGACUGAAAAGAAGUUGAUUGGAGGCAAGAGGAAAUGGAUGAUUGAGAUUGAAAUGAUUUGAAUGGAAUGAUUGAGAAUUGAAUAGAAUGAAGAAUGGAUAGACUUGAUAGUUACUGGAUGAUGAGAAUCACACUAACUUUCAAGUGGUGAAAUGAUUUGAAUGGAAUGAUUGAGAAUUGAAUAGAAUGAAGAAUGGAUAGACUUGAUAGUUACUGGAUGAUGAGAAUCACACUAACUUUCAAGUGGAGAGAGAAGAGUCUUUGUAGUUGUUUCUUCCAUGGAGGAAGACCUUAUCAAUGGUUCGAUUCAAAUUGCACUAAAGUUUAUGAAUAAAGGUGAAUACGAUAAGCGAUGGGUCAUACGUCCCAUACCCAAAGAUACUCAGAAUGGGGGUCGGAAUACUCUAGUCCCACUCCUUCUCCAUUACUUAAGGCUCGUAUCGUACAACUUGAUUCAUGAUUGAUAAGUUGUUGAUGUCGUCCUUGCUUUUGUUGUAUUUUUCUUUGUGAAGAUAGACUUGUUAAUCGUAUGGUUAGAAUUGUGCUAAAGUCUAUGAAUAGAGGUGAAUAUGAUGAGUGCUGGGUCAUACGUCCCAUACCCAAAGAUACUCAAAAUGGGGGUAGGAAUACUCCAGUCCCACUCCUUCUCUAUUGCCUAAGGCUCGUGUCACACUCUUCUAACUUUGAGUUAACAAAUGUUGGUUUUGACAUUUGUAGUGCUUGAAUAGUAGUCAUGCCUUGUACUGAUUUGAAUAACUUGAACUCUCGAUCUUGAUCUUUGAAUCUUGAUUGAACUUGGAGCUCCAGUAUCUAGCAUCUUGAUCACAAGGACUUACUUUAUCAAGUGAUCAUAGGUCUUCUGAUCACUUGACUAAGCUUGGGGAAUUAAGCACAGUCAAAGGAUUUAGUCAAUCAAAGCGUACUUUGAUCAACUUAGUCGGUGGGGAAAAAAUUAGUUGAAAGUGAACGUACAACUACCUAAAGGGUUAUUGUUUAUUUGAAUUAUUUUCACAAUGCCUAAACUAUGGGAACAUGCAAAAAUUGAAUUAUUUUUACACUAAGGGCAAAACAACCAUUUGACAAAUUUAUAGAAUAUUGAAUUAAAAUUCUAAUUAUGAAAUCCUAAUGAAAAAUCAAUGGUAAAUUCUAAACUAUUUUAUUUUCUAAAUUCUAUUAAAUUCUAAAGAUUAAUCUAAUCUAAUAUUCCUAAAAGGUCUAUUACACUAAUCUAAACAUUUUCUAAACAUUGUUCCUAAUUAAAAUUCCAUAGCUAAGUAAAUCUAAAAGUCUAACUACUCAAUAUUUCUAAUUAUAUUUCUAAUUAACAAUCUAUAGCUAAUUAACUCUAACAUUCUAAGAUCAAGCUAAUUAAUCCACUUACACUAACUAAUUAAACUAAUUAACCUAAAUUAUCUUGAGUAAUCCAGUUUAAGUAGAUGCUUGGGCCAAAGGCCCGCGCUUCAAAACAACGGCCUAUGUUACCAACCGGGUCUCUUUAACCCACGGAAGAUUCUCCUUCCUGAUGUAACGCCGAACCUACACGCAGACGGCUGUCGACGACGCAAGGUUCGCACUCCAGCGGCUCGUGAUCAAGCGGAGUCCAGGACUUCGUUCACGUUCGAAACCAAUAGAAGAUAAAACGUUCAUAGAAAACGAAAGACUUCUCACCGUCAUCACCGGAAAGAGACUCCCCCUACUCACACAACAACGAUGCCCAACGCUUCAUCUCGUCACUCAAGACCAACGGCGAUCGACAGUGGAUACGGUAAAUGCGAGGGAGACGCGGAGGACUCUCCUCCAGAUGUGAAAACGACUCUGACGUCUCCAUCUAUGUUCGUGUGCACCCCUACCUUCUCUGAAUCACGGUGCAUCGAAUGGAGCGACACCGAUUCACGACGUUGAACCUCUGCUUUCACCAGUUUAAACAGAAGAAUAUAAACGCCGAAUUGAAAUCUCACCAGUUUAUCAGGUACCGCGUCUUUCCUUUCUUCUCCCUUCCUGUUUCUGUUACAAGCUUCUUCUUUGUUGAACUCGUGCUUGCAGGUUGUGGUUUGUUGAGGAUGGCAUCGGCGCUUUGCACUUUCAUUGAGGACAGACGAUGAAGGGCGAACCGUUCUUCUGGAGAAGGAUGCUAACCGGUGAGAACCCAAUUCCUGUUUUUGAUUCUUCCUUUUUCAAUCAGCUUCUUCUUCUCGUUCAGCUCUUCUAACUUCAGAACUUCUGCAAUGUCUGUACGGUGCCUUCGUGAUGGUGUGAGAAGAUUGGAAGAUGGAAUCACCGGUUUGGAAGCUUGAAGCUGCAGAAUGCUCUUGAGAUUGAUGAGCUUGGUAGAGAUUGUGCAGAAUUCAUUCAUCAUCUUGAUGCAAGGUGAGGUACUCCUUCCCCUUCAUUCUGUUAUGAGAAUCUCGAAUGAUUGAUUUGUUACCCAGAUUGAUGGAUUUAGAAAAAUGAAAAAAUUUCUGUUCUGAAUUGAGGCAUGUGUUUAUAUAGGAUAGUUCAUAACCGAAUCGGGCAGGUCAGUUAUCUUAGGGCAGGUGCCCAAAAUUUCUGUUAGAAAACUCUCUGUUAAAGAUGAGUUGAUUUUGUUAAGUUGGUUAGAAAUAGAAAUGAAAAUUCUAAUUUUAAGAUGCUAUGCUAUUAAUUUCCACUCUCUCCAUUCUGUUUAUUAGCUGGAGUUAGUUGUUGUUUUAAAUUACAACUGUUAGCAAUGCAUGAUCAAAACCACCUCGAAGUGAAAUUUCAAAUUGAGGAAAUCACUAAGUGAAUGAAUGAAAGCUUGUUGGUUGAACAAUCAAGAUCUAUUACUACACUUUAUUUUCUAUUAUCUCUCGCCGUGUUAAAUAACUGUUAAUUAUUUCGCUAUCAUUUCCAAUGGAGCAGUUAAACUGAACUGAAAUUGAUUGCGAUUAGUUCGUAUGUUAAAACCUGCAAAUUGAUUAACAUGUUGCUCUUUCAGGUUGUGUAUGCUUGUUCGUGCUCAUGAUUAGUUGCAAUGUGCUAAGUCAUGUAUGAUUGAAUAGUUAGGAUAAUGUGAAUAUUUGUAUGUCGUACGUGCGUGUUGUAUUGCAUUGGGUCCUCAGCUGUCAUGGCUUUUUGGAGAUGUUAUGUUAGUUAAUGGCUUAUAUUUUGUUGGUUUUGAGAAGCUUGGAAUUCAAAAAAUAAAAUUGAGAUCGAAAAGAGAAUUGUUUAUUUGUGUUAUAUGGAGUUUCUCCUUAAGUUAUUAUUGUUGAGUGCAUUUGAAAUGAGUUGGAUAUGAUUAGUUUGUUUAAGAACAAUAUUUAUUGAUCUGUUCUACAGGAUUUGUGUAUGUACUUGCCGGUUGUCGUAGUCGGUGGAAUUUGGGAGGACUGCAACGCAUAUCAAAUACAACUCAGGGGUUUGUCAAUGCUGGUGACGCAACCACCUGUUGGUUCUGUUAAGUGUUUGGUUUUGUGUUAGCAUUUGUUUGUUGGAAGUCCAAACUUGUUGAUGCUAUUACUUGAAAUUAGAACUUUUAUUCAUUAACUUAAUUACUACUGAAAACAUUUUGGAAUACUAUUACAUCCUCUUACUGUUGUCCUCCUUUGUUGCUUGCAGAUGUCUCUACUAUAUUCGUGAGUGUGGGCGGUGUUCAAUGUGGCUCAUGGUACCAAGCUGGGAUGUUAACUUGGUGAAUACUCUUAUGCCGCCAGUUUGGAUUUUGAAGGGCGAAACAACCGACGUGCCUAGCUUGUUAACACCGCAUUGUGACCGAUGAGUGUAAGUUCGAAGCUCCUAUCUUGUUUGUUUGAUGUAAUAUGGAUUCUUGUAGCCAUGUUAGGCUAAGACUGCCUAUUAUUAAUGAAGUUCAAUUGUUUAUUCUCGAAUGAAUUAGGGAUUUAAGUUAUAAUUAAUUCAAUCAAUCAAUGGUGCGGUUAAAAGGGAUACGUUAUCAAAAGUGGUGCUAUGUACUCCUGUUUCUAUCAGAUCCUUUGAACUUGUUAAUUGCAAAGUCAAAAGUGGUGAAUACUCUAUAUGAUUUGAAAUUGUGAACUUGUCGUCAAAUUAAUUGCUUUAGUAAUUGCUAUGUUAGUAAGUGGAUUAGAUUAAAUAACGUCAUGAAGUUAAAGUUAUGACAUUUACAAUGUUUAAGUUUUUACGCAUGGUUUUGUGGUGUAUGUGCAGGUGAAUAUCUUGCUACUAGAUAAGAGAUAUGGCAAGGGUCCAUUGUGAAAGAGAAGAACAGGGUGGAGUUUGUUUGGAGUUAAGUCAGUGUGGAGUGGUAUUGAAUUAGGAACGCUUACGUGAUGUUAGAACAUGUUAGGGAUGUUAUUAUACCGUUAGUGAACUUGUUGCUGGGUUAUCAACCAUGUUAGUGUGGCCUAUCGGUUAAAGAAAAAUGGAUAAUUGGAUGAUGAUUUAGUUAUUGAGAAUGUUAGGUGCUUCCAUGGAAUUCGAAUGGAAUUUGUUUUUGGUUGUAUUGAUUAAUUGAUUUUGGAUUAAUGGAUAUGGAUUUUGAGCAUGGUUUAAUGGGUUAUAAAAUGAAUAAUAUCAAUUUCAAUCAAAGCAAUUAAAAUAAAAUUAAUUAAUUAGAUAUUAAAAUCACUUUAAAAUCCAAAUUUCAAUAAUUUAAGAUCGGCAUUGAUUUGGUAUCAAUUUGAUGUUCAUUCGACAAUUAAAAUCAAUUAGAGUCUUGAAUCAAUUAAAUUGAAGUUCCUUAAUUAAUUUGAAAUUAGGUGUGAAUUAGGGUUUAUAUUAACAUGAGUGCAUGAUGCAUAAUGGAUGAAUGCAACACGGGCCACGAAUUGAAUGAAAGUGUGAAGAGAAGAAUGCAAAUUUUGGGGUACGACAACACCAUCAAUUGAUUACUGCCAUAACUUUUUCUAAGGCCACACCACUUAUUGGUUAUCACCAUUAUUUUUCUCAUUUUUAUGGCCACACCACUUAUUGGUUACCACCAUACUCUUUUAUUUUACCGGCCACACCAAUCAUUGGUUACCGUCGUACUCUUUGGUUCAGACAAUCCUACCCUAUGGAUCCAAACAACACAACUCUUGGUUCAAACCAUAUUUUCCCCAUACACAGACAACACUCAUACAAUUCAAACAACACUUUCAAUUCUAGCAUUUCUCUUUCUUUUAAUGCAAUUUAACCAAAUAUUUAUUCUUCUUUUUGGCACUUAAACCUUUUCAAAAUAACUUUUCUUUUCAUAAAUAACUUUUAUAAUUUGUUCCUUAGCAGUCAGACUAAAAUCUUGAAGUAUCCGAACUAAGAUCAAUUCAGCUAACGUCCACACACUUCUAGGAUAUGAUUAUAACUGUUCCAACAAAACAACCAACACACACUUAUUUUCUACUAUGAACUACAGAUCUCUGAUUUCCUUAUUGCACUAUGAAGAUACGUAGGCACAAGGGUCUGAAUCCUUGUCGAGCACCCUAAUUAAACCUUUUUUCCCUUUUAUAUUUUUGCAAGUAACCUUUAGAUAAUAACACUCAUUCUACCAAACAACAAUCAAAAUGGUUCCAGUUAAGUACAAUGGAUGUGAGGGCUGAUAAUACCUUCCCCCUGCGUAACCGACUUCCUUACCCUCUUUUCUCUUCCCCCCGGGUUUUAUAAAAGUUUUCCCUUUCCUUCGGGAAUAAAUAAAGUUCGUUGGCGACUCUGUUGUAUCUUAGAGCAUGCAAUACACUUAGGUAUUUUUCGCGGCACGACAAUACUAAGUUCGAAGAGUUGGUGAAAUUUUAUCCAUACUAUAAUAGUGUGGCAACUGAUGGGUCAAAGUGUAUCAAGUUCGAAAGCGACUUGCAUCCCGAGAUCAAGUAAGGUAUUGGGUAUCAAGAGAUCCGCUAGUUUUCUAUGUUGGUAAAUACGUGCAGAAUAUAUGAUGAGGAUAACAGAUCUUGAUCUACUCACUAUAAGAGUCUUAGUGAGAAGAAAGGGAAGGAUCAGAAUCAUGGGAAACCUUAUGGGGAUUCUUCUGAUAAGGGUAAGAAGAGGCUGAUCAAAAGACUGCAGGUGGGAAAGAGCAAAGUGAGGGAGGGACUCCUGCUUUUGUGAGAUGUUUCAAAUGUGGUGAGUUUGGACAUCGUAUUUCUCAGUGCAAAAGCACAACUAUGAAUUGCUUCAAGUGUGGGAAGCCAGGUCACCGAGCUGCUGAAUGUAAGAUUAACACUUUGACUUUCUAUAAUUGCGGAGAGCAAGGUCAAAUUAGUACUCAGUGCCAGAAACCAAAGAAAGCUCAAUUUGAAGGGAAAGUUUUUGCUUUGUCUUGAGGAAAGACUACUAGAUUUGAUAAAUUUAUUCGAGGUAUGUGUUUUACUAAUGACAUUCCAUUGAUCACUAUUAUUCACAUGGGUGCAAACAAAUUCAUUCAUACCUGCUAAGUGUGUGGAAAAAUUGAAUCUGGAAGUGUCUACUAUGAAUGGUAGCAUGGUCAUUGAUACCCCAAUUAAUGGUUCACUGACUACUUCGUUGGUGUGUGUGAAUUGUCCUUUGACAAUUUGCGGUAGAGAUUUUGGGAUUGACUUAGCCUAUUUGCUUCUAAAUCAACUCGAUGUUAUUCUGGGAAUGGAUUGGUUGGAGUUUAACCAUGUGCAUAUCAUUUUCUUUGAAAAGUCGAUGAAGUUUCUUGAAUUUGAGGAGAGUAUGGAGUCGAGUUUCAUGACCGCGAGACAGGUAGGGAUGUCGUUGAUAGAGGGUGUUCAAGUGUUCGUGGUGUUCACAUCCUUGAGAGGGGGAAGCGAAAGAAUGAUUGUUGUUCUACCUAUUAUGUGUGAGUUUCCUAGAUGAAAUUAGUGAGUUGUCAUCGGAGCAUGAAGUUGAGUUCGCUAAGACUUAAUACUGGUACCAGUCUUGUGUCGAUGGCUCCUUACAAGACGUUUGCUUUAGAACUGAAUGGUGAAGAGAGAUUUUAGGAACUCAAGAGGAAGUUGGCAUCUGUUUUAGUUUUGAUUUAGCCAAGUCCAAGUGAAUCCUUUGUUGUGUAUUGUGAUGUUUCGAAGAUGGGUCUAGGUGAUGUGUUGAUGCAAAAUGGUCAAGUUGUGGCUUAUUCUUAUAGAUAAUUAAAAGUUUAUAAGAAGAAUUAUCCUACGCAUGAUCUAGAGUUUGCAACCUGUCGUACCCCAAAAUUUACCCUCCCCUUUUCAUUCUUCAUCCAACUUAUGACUUGGGAUUCACCUGUACACAUUCAUAUCCAUUCAUAUACAUCAUGCAUCCAUAUUAGCACUUUCUCAUAAGCACCAUAGACUCAAAUCUUGUGGUUAAUUAAAACUAGGGUUUUGCCCGAGUAUCGGAGUUUGGCUCAUCAUGUGGAUUGUAAACCUUAAUCUCAUGCCCUUAUGGGCCUUGGUACAAAAAGGUCACAAUCAUGAUACUUAAGCUCUAAUACCAGACUUAACAACCCUUUGACCUCAUGAGCUUCUAUCUAUGCAUCUGAAACCCUAAUUCAUACCUCAUAGUUGACCAAAGUCAACAUUCCAAUUAUGGUCUUUCUAAACCUAACUUGUCUUAUUAGCAUACCAUUUCCAUGUCGUUUUUUUACCAUGACCAAUAAUGAUAUUUAUAGCAUUGAUACUGUUUUUUUCCCAUUCACAUUAACUAGGUCAUGAAGAACUGAGAUUCUAAAAAAUACUUCACUCGAUUCAAUUUCUCAAUUAACCAGGUCAUGCUGAACCUUAGUAUUAGGAAUUUGGUGUGUACUUGGAUCAACAUUACAACAAUCUUGACGAAAUCAUUCUCCAAUUUUAAUUCUAGAAUUAUUUUUAGUCUUUAAUUUGCACAUUUUGUUUUAUUUACAGCUUUAAUUUUCAAUUUUUGUUAUUGUUGCUAUUUAAUUUUUGGUAUUAAUUAUUGUUCAUUAUUGAUGCUAUUUAAUUUUCAAUUUUAGUUCGUAUUGUUAUUAUUAUUAUUCACUGCAUGGUUCUAUUUAAGCACUCAUAUCAAUUUCAAUUGUUAUUGUACAUACUAGUUUCAUUUGCAUGUGUGCAUGUUUAGCUACUUGCAGGUAAUUAAUAUAUAUAUAUAUAUAUAUAUAUAAUAUAUAUAUAUAUAUAUAUAUAUAUAUUAUAUAUAUAAUAUAUAUAUAUUAUAUAUAAUAUAUAUAAUAUAUAUAUAUAUAUAUAUAAUAUAUAUUAUAUAUAUAUAUUAUAUAUAAUAUAUAUAUAUAUAUAUUGUUUUAGCUUUCUACAAUCCAUUCUCUGCAUCUCUCUCUUUAACAGUUAUAAUUUGGUCCAGUGUUUGUGACUCUUCAACCAACACUUCCUUCACUACUAGUUCAUUCUAAAAAGUAUUAGUGACUUUGUAAAAUGAACUAGUAAAAAUGUAAGUGUUGAUUGAAGAGUUAGAAGUAUUGUACCAAAUUCUUACCGUCAAAGAACGAGAUGAAUACAAUGGGCUGCAAAAAGCUCCUAAAACAUUAAUCAAUGUAAGUUGUUGUUUUCUAACAUAACUUAAUUUUUCAUAUUAUUAUUUUCUAAUUCAAUUCAAAAGGUUAUAUAUUCAAUGAGGGGGUGGAAAAAUACUUAAAUCACAUAUGAUAUAAUAAACUAAUCUUCUAGUACAUGUUGAAUGCACAACAUGAUAGCUACAAUCAAUGUUUUAAAAACUGGACCGGUGAAACUUGCGGUUUAAGGUUUAAUUGGUUAAACCGGUUAAUCCUACGGUCCAACCAUUUAUUAAAUAAACUAAUACUAUGAAAUUAAAUUUCAUAGAUAUGUCACACAUAAUCAUACAUUCACAACUUAAUAAAAUAAAUAUUUUAAAAAUCUAUUACAAAGUUAAUACAACAAUAUUGAUAAUACAUAUAAUAAUAUAACAUAGUUCUACACUUCAUUUCAACCUUCAUUUAAGAAUAAUUUGACCAAAUUAAAAAAUUACAAUAAAAUAAGUUAAACUAAUAAAACCAAUAUUAAAAUAAUAGAGUAUAAUAACUAAAAUAAAGUGCAAAAAGCUCACAAAACAUUAAUCAAUGUAAGUUGUUGUUUUCUAACAUAACUUAGUUUUUCAUAUUAAUAUUUUUUAAUUCAAUUCAAAAGGUUAUAUAUUCAAUGAGGGGUUGGAAAAAUACUUAAAUCACAUAUGACAUAAUAAACUAAUCUUCUAGUACAUGUUGAAUGCACAACAUGAUAGCUACAAACAAUGUUUUAAAAACCGGACCGGAGAUCGAACCGAUGAAACUUGCGGUUUAAGGUUUAAUUGGUUAAACCGGUUAAACCUACGGUCCAACCAUUUAUUAAAUAAACUAAUACUAUGAAACUAAAUUUCAUAGAUAUGUCACACAUAAUCAUACAUUCACAACUUAAUAAAAUAAAUAUUUUAAAAAUCUAUUACAAAGUUAAUACAACAAUAUUGAUAAUACAUAUAAUAAUACAACAUAGUUCUACACUUCAUUUCGACCUUCAUUUAAGAAUAAUUUGACCAAAUUAAAAAAUUAUAAUAAAAUAAGUUAAACUAAUCAAACCAAUAUUAAAAUAACAGAACAUAAUAACAAAAAUAAAGUUUAAAUAAUUAAGAAUACCUAAAUUAAAUAAGAUAGAAUAUUAAAAAUAAUAAUACAUUAUCCUUCAUUAAACAAUAAAAAACUAAUUUGAGUUGAGCUACGACAAACAAGUCUUAAUUGACAACAACAAACAAUAUUGACUUGAACGAUAAUCAAUAGUAUUUUGGAUAUCACUAUGUUUUAAAGAGACGACGUGAUAAUGAUGGAUUGUGGUUGAAUGAAAAACUAUAAUGGAGUGACAAAAUUUAGAAGUUUGUAUGGUUGUAAAAAAAAUAUGAAAUUCUUUCUUGUGAUUGGGGAAUGUAUGUUAAGUUUUGAUAUUGACAUAUUAAAAUUUAAAAAAAUAAAAUUUAAAAAAUGGUUAAUUUGAUGCAUUUUUUUAACUGGAUGGUUUUACAAAACCAGCUCCGAUUCUUUCAUUCGAAUGGUUUUGGACGGUUCAAUCUGAUUUUUUUGGUUUUACUCCGGUUUUGACCCACUAAUGGUUUUGAAAUAUUGACUCAAUCGGAUUCAUCUCCGAUUCCCGGUUCAACCGGUUGAACCGGACAGUUUGGUCAGGUUUUUAAAACAUUGGCUACAAUGUUCAAGUAAUAAAAUUAUUAAUAUCAUAAACAAUAAUAUUAAUAUACCUAUACAUGCACAUCCUACAACUUUUAUCAACAUACAUAAAUAAAAUAUCAAUAUAUUUCAACAAAAAAUAUGUAAAUCAAAUCGUAAACUUAUGAACAGAAAAAAAUCACUUAUGGAAAAACAACACAAACAACAACUUUUACCUAAAAAAUUAUAAACUAACCUUAUCAUAAAUUUAUCAAAUAUAUCUAAACAACAACAUUUAUCAACAUACAUAACAAAAACAUAAACAUACUUCAACAAGUUAUAUGUAAACAAAAUCAUAAACUUAUGAACAAAGCAAAAUCCUUUAUCAACAAACAACACAAACAACAUUAUUUAUCUUCAAAAUCAUAAACUAACCUUAACAUAAACACAACAGAUUUAUCAAAAAUACUUCAACAACAAUAUACCUCAAUAAUAACGUUAAAAGUUUACGAAUACCUCAUAUUACAACAAUAAAAGAAUGGAAUUUUGAAAAGAAACGGUUUACAUACAUACCUUUACUUGAAAAGAUUUGUGGAAAAUGAAAAACAAAGAAAUAAACUUGCUUAUUUCAUGACACUUUCCCUUGAUUCAUACUAGUUUGAGAAGUUAUGUUGGAGUUUUGUGAAGUUAGGAUGGAGUUUUGAGAGAUUGGGACAAGGAGAUAGAAGUUAGGGUUUCACACUUACAAUGCAGUUUAUUCUAAGGUGAAUUACGUUAACUUAUAUAGGUGAUUAUUUCACAACAGAUGCUAAAACCAAUCAUGGUGAUAUAUCCUGAUAUUUACCAUGGUUGUUAAUUGGGACCAUGGUUACAAGUUUUUAAUUUUUAUUUAAAAUUAAAAAUAAAGGUAACACCCCCUUUUAUUAAUGAAAAACACAACGGUUGUUAAUUGUGACCAUGGUUAUAUGUAAUUUAAAAAUAAAUAAAAAAGACGCCUAAUGAACAUAUAUUACCUCGGUUGGACAUGUAACAGUGGUAAGAGAUUGUUACAAAAUGUAUCUUUUAUAAUAGUAGAAACAUGAUCAUAUUGCCUUUCUUCGUAAAUUAACGUAUUUUCAAGGAAAUCAAGAACAUAAUCCUUUGGAUACAACAUUGACUUAAACUCUUUCAAACUUCUUUUAUAAUAGUAGAAACAUGAUCAUAUUGCCUUUCUUCGUAAAUUAACGUAUUUUCAAGGAAAUCAAGAACAUAAUCCUUUGGAUACAACAUUGACUUAAACUCUUUCAAACUUAUUCUAUUAUUUAGUAAUAGUGACUAUUUAUUUUCACGAGAGUGAGUUCUUGUGUUUCUUCUUCGGUGAGAAAUAUAUCUAAUAUAGAAAAAGUUGUUUAUUUAUAUAGGUUAAAUAUGGAAUAUUAAAAUUCAACAUUGGUUAAAUAAUCUUCAAUCUAUACAAAACAACAUGCAUCAAGUUAUAUAAUUUUAAAUUAAUUGAUUAGAAAAGUCAAUGAAUGAUUAUGUAGAUAUAAAACUAAUAUUAAUGAUGUGCAAUUGCAAAGAAAACUACCAGAGGAGUGAAACACUGCAUGUUAUUUUGUUCCACUUUUAGCAACUUAAGAAAUUAGAGUAAUGAUACAUUACAUGCGAAAUGCAAUUUUUACAUAUUUCGUCUUCAAAUAAGGGAUCUUUAGAACAUUAUUAUUGUAUAAAUCUUUUAUACAUAGUUUUAUUAAUUAAAUAGUAAUUCUAUAUUUUAAAAUCAUUUGGAUUUUUGGAUAAUGAGCGUUGCUCAUAAAGAAUACCAUCAACUAAGUAUUGCCAUGUAUUUGUCCAAACAUGAUUGGGUCUAUUUAUUGAUGCAGGCAACAACAUAGUGACAAAUAGCUUCCACAAAAAGAUACCAGAGCCCCAUACAUGUACCUCUUUGAUUGUAUCAACAAACUCGCUAUCAUACACUUUCUUAAUGUCAUCGUAACUUAUAGGUUCUUUUUUCACAGUAAACAUCAUCUUGAGAUAAUAUAACUCACUUGUGCAUUGUGGAACCCAAAUAAGUCGACUGAUGGUGUAUCCUCUUUUCCAUGGUUUCCAAGUUCUAGUUUUCUUUACAUAAAUCAACUUUGAAACAAAUUGACCAUAAGUCAACAACCUAGCAUCUUCAAAGAUUUUGUUUGCCUCAAACCAAGCUUUAAACAUAGAUUUUAUUACACUUUGUUUUAGUAAAACAAUUCUAAUUUGCUCAUAAUCAUUAUAGUAAACAAAAUUCUCUCCUUCCAAGUGAAAAAAUAUUCGUUCAACAACAGGCUUCUUUCAAUAUAUUGAAAUAGAGAAUAUCCUCCAACAUGCUUCACUUGGAGAAAUAUAUCUACAAUCUAGAUAUUGCUUGAUUUUUUCAAUGUUUUCUUUUUCAACCCUUGUAUUUGUCUCUGAUGGUACAAUAACAGUUGAAAUUCUAUCAGAACCUUUGUUUAUAUACUUGAAUAAGUAUUUUAUUAAAAUACUUUAAUUGCAUCAUUCCAUGUUAAUGUGUGUUUCAUACUUCAACAACAAACUUGCGUUAUGAGUAACUACACGACCGUUAUGAAGGAUGAUUCCAUUUUUUUCAAUUGUGUAACCAUUAACUCUUUUUUUAUACACAAGAUCUUCAUCAACUACAACAAAACUUUGAAACUUUUUGGACAAUACUUAGAACGUUUUCCAUCCAUCAUGUAAGGUGAUUUUUUGUUUGCCAAACCACAAGAUCCAUGAAGCAUAUGAUUAUUAACCAAAUUGUACAACUUUGAAUUCUUCAGGACCGAGGUAGUUGUUACAUGGAUGCAAGAAAAUCAAGAUAUGUGCAUGUGAGAAUCCUCUCUUUUGAAACUCGAUAGCAUACAUAUCUAUAUAUUAUAAAAUAUAAUUAGUAUGCGAUAUUUCAUUGUUGAAAUGUGUAAUUCAAAUCAAUUAUGUAGUUGAAUUUAGUUUGUUUUAUUUAAUUAUUUAGAUUAAUUUCUAUGCUUUUAUUUGGAUAAUUGGUGAAUAUAUGUGUCUUGGUGGGUAUUGGAGAGAGUUAAGGGAAUGGUAUAAAUUAAUUGAAUUAAUUUUAAUUAAUUGAAGUUGAGUAGAAUGAUUAAAAAUAAGAUAGUUGUAGAAAAAUAAGAGAAAUAGUAGAAAUUGGUGGAAAAUUGAGUUAUUAUAAUUAAAAAUUAAAAUAAUAGAAAUUAGAGUUAGUAAGAGGAGUAGGGGCAGGAUAGGAAAUGUGAGAGUAAGUUGAGGGUAAUAAGAGAAUAACCAAAGUAAAGGGAAUUAGGUUUUGGAUUAAAUAGAAAAGGUGAGAGUUGUAACUUUUCUUACUAUUUUGGAACAAGAGAAAAGAGGCAAGAAAGACAACCUAGGGCUUGAGGAAGAGGGGGAGAUCACUAUUGUUGUAGUGAUUGCUUUGCUGGAAAUCCAAGGUAAGGGGAGAUUACUCUAAUAUGGGUGUAUAUUGUAUGAUGGGUAGAUAGGGGUUCUCACCCUCCUCUAGGUUUCCUCGCCAUUAUUGUGUUUUUUAAGUUUUUUAUAUGGUUAUUAGUAUUCAAUGAUAAUAAGGAUUCUUUAUGUGUGAUAUGUGUUCAUGAUAUAAUGAUUUCAGAAUUUGGUCUGUGAAUUGUAUGUGAGGUUGGAUUUGAUAUUAUUCUUGUUGAUCUGUUUGAUGAUGAUGAACACAAAUAUAAUUUCCAUUGUGAAUUGAUGUUAAUGUAAAAUUGCAUGAACAUUGGUGUAUUGAUUGCCUACUAUAUACUUACUGAUGUUGAAGUUAUAAUAUAAAACAUUUAGGUAUGCUAGGACAUGUUUGGAUAUGGUUUGGAAGGGAUAAUGAUUGUUGAAAUGUGAUUAAAACUGGAAUUUUUGGAAAUGUUGCAGACGUCAAUCGUUUGACCCCCUAUGUCAAUCCAUUUAUGCUCGUGUAUUUUAGGAAAAUUGAAUGGAAAAAAUGACGUUAAUUGAUUAAUUCUCUAAAUCAAUUGAUUACACUAAGCCAAAACGUGAAAAUAGGAAAAACAUAAUAUUUGGAGAAGUCAGAUCAAUUGAUUGACCUUCCUCUACAAUCGAUUGACACCCUGAAAAUUGUGAAAAUUUGUUGAGCAGAAAGUUAGCUAAAACCUAUUAUUUUCUCCGGUUGUUUUUGCCAUAACUUUAAUUUCGUGAAUCCAUGUGAGGCGCGAUUUGAAGCGUUGGAAAGUUGAUGCGUAUGAAUACCCUAUAGUGAUGUAUUAAGAGGCUAGAUGGGUACUGGAAUGUGUGAAAUUUAAUUGUUUUACUUAUUACAUAAUGGUUAAUGGUAAAGAAUGAAUGAUUAAUCGUUAUAAAUGACUGAAUUAAUGAUGAAGCGAUGAUAAGAUGAAUUAAUAUGAUUAAGUGCUAUGUGGAUGUUUACUUGAUGCAUGAAUAUAUGUUGUGAAGUGCAUGUGUAAUUAUGUGAAGUGUUGUAAAUACUUGUUGAUGAUUGUUGAGAUGUGUAGUUCAGAGUGAGAACUACUAUUGAUGCGUUUAAAUGCAUGAUUGUUUAGAGUUAGAUGUGGGGUUGUAAUCAUUGUUGUGUUGUUAUCGUUGCAUUAUCAUAUGCCAUGCAUCAUAUUUUGUCGUUGUUCCCAAAGAGGCCAAUCAUGUGUUCAGAUGAGUAGACGAGUGACUCGUACGGAGCUCAGAUGAGGGGCUCGGGGUUCAGAUGUUGGAACCCAUUUUGUAUGAAGAACCAUUUUUGAGUUGGUACCACAUGCAUAUAUAGUCAAUGUGUUAUCACAUUGCAUACAAGUUGGCAUCUGUGAAUUGAUUAUUGUUAUGCAAAUACAUUACAUGUUGAUGAUUAUUGUUGUUGUUGUUUAGGCUACCCUUCCUGGUCUUUUGCACUGCUAACAUAUUUGAGUGUAUUCUCACCCCUUUCUUGUUUUGUUAGUGUGUUGUUGUACGAUCUGUACAGAUACCAGAACAAGAGUAGUAGCUGAUGUGAGUUGGAAAAUGGCCUUGGAUCUCAUCUUCAUUUAUUUUAUCAUUUAUCGCUUUUAGUUGAUUAAAUGCUUUGAAGUCUAAAAGUUUAUUUGCGAAAUUUAAUUUUGAAGUUGUUGCGAUAUGAGUUUAUGUUGCUUGUUGUCAAAUGUAUUUAUGAGUUUUUGGAUGGUUGUAAUAGUGACACCUUAAAUUGUUGAUUAAAUAUUUUUAUAUAAGUUUUGGGGUUCAAGCCAUUACACAGUGCUAUCAGAGUCUGGUCGGUCCAUACAGUCAGGUUUUUGUCAUGUUGUUUGUUCCCUAGUAUACGACAUGUGUAUGAAUAGUGUUUAUGCCCAUUUCUUCUAAUAGUUUUUUUUACUGAUGUGCAGAAAUAUGGUUGGAGGAAGAAACAACCAAGCUAUUGUUGAAGCUUUCGAAGCGAUGGCUCAGGCGCUGCAAGCCUAGCAAAAUCAGCAAGGUGCAAGUGAUGAAUUUCAUGGAUUGGGGAAGUUUCAAAGGAAGAAUUCGCCUACCUUUAAUGGCAUGUAUGAUCCAGAAAGUGCCUAGACAUGGCCCAGAUAGACUGGGAAGAUUUUUUUAGUGAUGGCUUCCACUCAGGACCAAAAGGUGUUGUUGGCACACAUAAGCUAUCGGAUGAGGCCGAAGACUGGUGGGGCAACGUGUGUCAGAGAACGGAAGAUGAAGGUAUUGAGGUUACCUGGGUUGUCUUCAUAACUAAUUUUCUAGAUAACUACUUUCCAGAGGACGUGCGCGGUAAGAAAGAGAUCGAGUUCCUUAAGCUGAAACAAGGGAAUUCGAUAGUUGUUAAGCAUGCUACUUAUCAUACCCCAAAAUUUGUCCUGCACUUUUGAUUUUGAUAUGGCUCAAGAUAUUUAAUUCAUAUGUAUAAUCAUGCCAUAUUCAUCUAUAUCACUCAUUCAUAUUAGCAUUUUCAAAACAAGCAUCAUGGAUUCUUAGGUAUCUUGUUAGUAAUGGUUGACGUGGAAUCAAACUAAUGGAGUUGUGGUGGUACAUCUAAGUGGAGAGCAUUAUCAUUGAGAUCUUGAUCAUGAAACCCUAAUCAUUGGUGCUUGAGAUCUUGGUUUAGGUGGAUUGUCAUCAUGGUUGAUUUUAGUAUUCAUUAUUUUUAUGUGUUGCAUUUUGGGUGUAAUCAGGAGGUACAAAGAUCAUCAGGGUCAACUAUAGAGGUUUACACUGCAUUCUUUGACAUUUUUUUAGGCUUUAUUCCAUACAUUCUAGGCCUAGUUAUUUGAAUGGGAUUUAAGGCAUCUUCAAAGUUUAUUCAAGAAGGGCAUUGCAAGUUCAUAUCCACAGUUAUGAUUCAAAGUCAAAAUUCAAGUUUGUUUUGCACAAGGUCAAUUCAAAACCAAGCUUGGAGGAAACUCAUUUACAAAUCAAGUUUCAAAUUCAUUACAAACUCGUCAGAAGUUUACAAAGUCGUUACAAAAAGUAAAAAAUCUAAAACAUACAAAGAAUGCAAUUUUGACCUAUAGUUGACUUUGGUCAACUAGUUGACUAAAGUCAGCUUUCUAAGUCUAACCCUAAGUCCCUCAUUUCUUCCCUCGAAGCCAUCUUAUCUUGGUCUUUAGGUUUCCUCAGUGGUUUAUCCAUGACUUGAUCAAGCCUUGCUUCCUUUCAUCAGGCAUAUUGACCCUACAAGAUUAAAAAGUCCAUAAGCACAUACUCAAAUCAAUAAUCACACCACAUAACAAUGUAGACAAUAACAUAACAUGGCAUCACAUGAUUCCUAGUUCUAACCAACUUUAGAUUCAGCUCUUCCUAAAUUCUAACAGAAUUUUAACUACAACAUUACCAUUUGUAACAAUUCCUACUAAUCUUUCAUAAAGCAUAACAACAUACAAGCAUUGUUUGGAUCACUUUCCUUUUAAUUAUGGACAUCCAUAAUCAAUCAAUCAUAUUGGUUCAUUUCCAUUCUAACAUAACCAUUCAAUGGAUGUAACACAAUAAACAAUCAACCAUUCCUAACACCACUAACAUGUCCUAACAUACAACCAUGUCCAUUUUAAUACAUAACAUGAUAAUUCAACAAUAAGUCCAUCAACCUCAUUUUUAACAGGCAUAUAACAAUUCACCAAGAUUCUAUACUUCAAACAAUUCAAGAUUAAUUCCAAAAUAGUAGCAAUCAAUGUUCAAGCAACUUUGGUAGUUCAAUAAAGAAUAGCCUAUUCACAAUUUUGUUCACUAACCUAAUACACUAGCAAUAGGAUUAAAGUCUUACACAUAAUUCAAUAGCUAGGGGUCCACAUACACAUAGCAGCUAGAAUUAAGGCAAUUCAUUACUAAUGCCCCUACAUUCCUAUUACUAACCUAACUCACAUUUUAACUUCAAACUCAACUUUCAAGUAAACAAAACUAACCAUAAAAACCUGUUGCAGUUUGGACCAAUUGCACCAUUCAUAAUUCAGUUUAGGUUCAUCUUGAUAGCGCUGCUAGAUGGCUUGCAAACCUCACUUCACCACUGCAAAUUGGAUAGCCAGCUGGAUAUUAAUUAGCUCAUCAAAUUCAAAGCAUCAUGCAGUCAUAACAAUCCAAUUAGCAUACCAAUUAACCAUAGGUUCAACACCAAAACCAAUUGACAUCAUACAAAACUUGCAGUUUGAGUCAGCAUACAUUUCAUCAUAGUUAUAGUGAAACAAUUAAAUUCACUAGUCUACAGCUUGCUGACCAUACUAACUGAACCUUAACAGGAUAUCUAACACUUGUAACUGUUUUCAUUCAAAACCAACCUUUGUUAAAUCAAUAGUCCAUUGAAAAGUCAAUUCAUCUGUGAUAAUUAACAUAAAAUAACUUCUCAUAGCACAACAAUCCUUAGAUAACUAGUUAGCACAUUGCAACUAGUAAUAAAUUCAUCCAUACUAAUGAUAAUAAUUUCAAAUUGUGGUUCAUAUCUGCAGCUUAAAGACACCAGCUAGAACUAACUAUUCCAACUAUGAAAAUCCAAUAUAACCAUUUGAACUAACUCAUGUUGAAUUCCAUUUCACACUAACAUAAUUUCAACAUCUUCUAACUAACAGAACUAACAUCUCAAUCCAACCUAAUAUAAUAUUCAAUAAUAUAAUAACUAACUCCAUCCAAUUUUUCAACUGACUGAAUUAACUACGUUAACUGUUUGUUAACUUUGUCAAAUCCAUAACUGAAUCUAACUGACGUAACAGUCCUCCCAAUCAACUAACUUCACUUCAAUCUAAACCAACUAACUUCACUUCAAUCUAAACCAACUAACUUUAACAUAGCCUUAACAAAUUGUUAACUCUAUUAAUCCUUUUAACUAACCUACAACCAGUUACUCAAUUCAUGUCUAUAAGUAAUCAUCAUCCCAAUCAUUGAAGAGGACCCAAUCAUUGACACACGAAUCAGAUAAGUUCUCAAAACUCUCUUUCACUCUCCCUCAAUUGUCUCUCAAUCUCUGAAAUUUUCCCUUUCACUUUCACCCUCACCUAAAGCUCGAUAGAACAACCAUUAAAGCUUCACCUUGAAGCUUCAAACGUGCGUGAGCUAAGCCUCUCAAUCUCUCUGCUCUAUCACAUUUUCUCUCAUGGAAGCAAAUCUCAGCAAUCUCACGCAUCAUAAACGUAGCAACCACAUAAGGAUUAGAAGAAGAUUCUAUUAAGGAGCUCAGAGUCAUAAUUCUUACCUUAUUUUGAAGCGCCUCUAGAUUUCUUAUCAUCCUCAUCUUCAAAUUUCUCAAUCUUGACCGGAGCAAUUCACCACUCUGAAGUUGGUGCACCUCUUUCAAACUCACUUGCUUUAUCAUAUUUCUUGUUACCAGAUGAUAGAAUUGAUGUAGAGGAACGUUAGCCCCAAGUUCUAAGGUUGAAACCAAUUGUAAUUCAUGUUUAAUUGGGGACCUGGAAUUUAGGGUUCAUAUGAGUUGAUUCUCUGAUUGGAAGUGUUAAGAAGGAAUUAAUAGAGGUUAACGUGAGAACGAAAGAAAGGGAACAAGGAUGAUUCCAUUGAUGCGAGGUUGAGGUCUAUUGAUAUGAGUUGAUUCUCUGAUUGGAAGUGUUAAGAAGGAAUUAAUAGAGGUUAACGUGAGAACGAAAGAAAGGGAACAAGGAUGAUUCCAUUGAUGCGAGGUUGAGGUCUAUUGAAGCUCAGCCGCCACUGGAGGCGAUUUCCAAUGCGGUGGAGGGAAGACUGAAAAUCAUUUUUUAGUUGGAAUAAGGGGAUGUGGAAGUGAG